This 363-nucleotide long non-coding RNA is filed under the name Mytilus galloprovincialis (Mediterranean mussel). Lineage: Eukaryota; Metazoa; Mollusca; Bivalvia; Mytilida; Mytilidae. The record is from RNAcentral.
GCCUGCUGUUGUUUUUGAGUAUUGUUAGUUAAAAUACGCAACCACAAAAAAACAUCUAUGGAUGACCAUUUCAGUAUGAUCCCUUGAUACUCUUAAACGAAAUUGUUGGUCAUAAGAAUACCAUUUUUCAACAGGAUGAUCAGCCGCUGCGCAUGCACCCCUUAUUAUUGACAUAUAUGAGAAAAGUUCACUUGCUUUUCCAGGAUACCUUUCAAUAAGGACCUGGGCAUAAGCAAUAAAACAAUCAGUCCAAUCCUCAACAGAAUUACCAGUAUGGUUUUUCUUAACUUAGUUUUGUAAAACCAGCAUACCAUCAUUAAUGCCAAUGGCGUUUUCAUUUGUUUGACUGUUGAAAUUGGUGUG